AUUGAUGUUGUUGAAGAGGGUGUAGUUUCUGGUCCUCGGGCUGGACUCUGGAAGGAGGUUGAUGAAUUCCAAGUACUUGUUCAUUCUGACACCUGCAAGAGCUUGGUCCACAUCUUUUUUGCUCAGCGUGGAACCACAAAGGUUCCUGGAAUUACUGACAAAGGCUUGAUGCCUAGACGAGUGAAUAAGGUUGCAGUGCUUGGCGGAGGACUAAUGGGUUCUGGCAUAGCAACUGCACUGAUCCUUAGUAAUUACCAGGUUAUCCUGAAAGAAGUAAAUGAAAAGUUCUUGCAAGCUGGAAUUGAAAGAGUCAGAGCUAACCUACAAAGCCGUGUCAAGAAAGGAAAAAUGUCUCAAGAGAAGUUUGAAAAAACCUCUUCUCUUCUUAAGGGUGUUCUUGAUUAUGAAAGCUUCAAAGAUGUGGAUAUGGUCAUAGAGGCUGUUAUUGAAAAUAUUUCUUUGAAGCAACAAAU
This 473-nucleotide unclassified non-coding RNA is filed under the name Hevea brasiliensis (rubber tree). The record is from RNAcentral. Lineage: Eukaryota; Viridiplantae; Streptophyta; Magnoliopsida; Malpighiales; Euphorbiaceae.